Pelobates cultripes (western spadefoot toad) is the source of this 386-nucleotide non-coding RNA. NCBI's taxonomy places the organism in Eukaryota, Metazoa, Chordata, Amphibia, Anura, Pelobatidae. The record is from the annotation of a GenBank genome assembly.
CUCAUUUAUAUUCCAGGCAUGUUAAUCAUAUGCUUCCUACAGCCGCCGAUACAGUCACGGCCACUCUUUCGUUCCAGAGACAAAAUCAUGGAUUAGACAUACUAAUGCAGCAUAGCAUGCACUAUCCCACCUUGCACUUUCAUCCCAUACUUGUAGAACGCAUAACACAGCUAUUCACCUGGCUUUAAAGAAUCUCAUUGAAACAUGACAUAGCUCAACCUGUGUCAUAACAUUUCUCCUAGGUUUUGCUUUAUUUUUGCCACCUUAAACUAAAACUCUCUCACACACCAUUAAUUAUAUAUUUUACAGGCAUUCAACAACACAGGAUAACCUAUGGCCAAAACUACCAUAACUUCAUGCUAUCAUACCAGACAAGAAUAUACUCA